RNAcentral lists this ribosomal RNA (301 nucleotides) under uncultured bacterium. Its description in RNAcentral is "partial 16S ribosomal RNA". It matches the Rfam family "Bacterial small subunit ribosomal RNA", at positions 509 to 809 of the family's 1533-position model. The record is from RNAcentral.
CAGUCGCCACGGGAAAACGUAGGUGGCAAGCGUUGUCCGGAAUUAUUGGGCGUAAAGCGCGCGCAGGCGGCCUAUCCAGUCUGUCUUAAAAGUUCGGGGCUCAACCCCGUGAUGGGAUGGAAACUAGUAGGCUAGAGUAUCGGAGAGGAAAGCGGAAUUCCUAGUGUAGCGGUGAAAUGCGUAGAUAUUAGGAAGAACACCAGUGGCAAAGGCGGCUUUCUGGACGAAAACUGACGCUGAGGCGCGAAAGCCAGGGGAGCGAACGGGAUUAGAUACCCCAGUAGUCCCUGUCUCUUAUACA